This 77-nucleotide transfer RNA is filed under the name Mycobacterium phage Charm. RNAcentral describes it as "tRNA-Asn". It matches the Rfam family "tRNA". Rfam says of the family: Transfer RNA (tRNA) molecules are approximately 80 nucleotides in length. Lineage: Duplodnaviria; Heunggongvirae; Uroviricota; Caudoviricetes. The record is from RNAcentral. RNAcentral also lists the same sequence under 1 other name.
UUCCUGAGUAGCUCAAUGGCAGAGCACCCCGCUGUUAACGGGGACGUUGGUGGUUCGAGUCCAUCCUUGGGAGCCCA